ACUUCCCUGCUCUGUUGGUGAUCUGCGAAGUAUUGAGCCAAACACUCAACAAUAGGGCGGUUCCCCUGCCUUCUUAAUGGAGCCUUUAUUGGUUCCCGGCGGAAGGCAAGACCUGCCCACCUAAUUUCGAUUAGGUUUGAUCAUUUCGCUGACACGGCAGAGUGGGGAUCUU
Molecule: non-coding RNA, 172 nt
Filed under: Desulfobulbaceae bacterium
Lineage: Bacteria; Pseudomonadati; Thermodesulfobacteriota; Desulfobulbia; Desulfobulbales; Desulfobulbaceae
Description: 6S RNA
Rfam family: 6S / SsrS RNA
About the family: E. coli 6S RNA was the first non coding RNA to be sequenced, but its function was unknown until recently. It consists of 184 nucleotides that fold into an extended hairpin structure with a large single-stranded internal bulge.
Source: RNAcentral